This 42-nucleotide small RNA is filed under the name Arabidopsis thaliana (thale cress). Its description in RNAcentral is "ATSL088070". Lineage: Eukaryota; Viridiplantae; Streptophyta; Magnoliopsida; Brassicales; Brassicaceae. The record is from RNAcentral.
UUCAACUCGAAGAAAAAGCAGGAACGGAAAGAACUUUACUUC